GACGAACGCUGGCGGCGUGCUUAACACAUGCAAGUCGAACGGAAAGGCCCUGCUUUUGUGGGGUGCUCGAGUGGCGAACGGGUGAGUAACACGUGAGUAACCUGCCCUUGACUUUGGGAUAACUUCAGGAAACUGGGGCUAAUACCGGAUAGGAGCUCCUGCUGCAUGGUGGGGGUUGGAAAGUUUCGGCGGUUGGGGAUGGACUCGCGGCUUAUCAGCUUGUUGGUGGGGUAGUGGCUUACCAAGGCUUUGACGGGUAGCCGGCCUGAGAGGGUGACCGGCCACAUUGGGACUGAGAUACGGGCCAGACUCCUACGGGAGGCAGCAGUGGGGAAUAUUGCACAAUGGGCGGAAGCAUGAUGCAGCAACGCCGCGUGCGGGAUGACGGCCUUCGGGUUGUAAACCGCUUUCGCCUGUGACGAAGCGUGAGUGACGGUAAUGGGUAAAGAAGCACCGGCUAACUACGUG
This 468-nucleotide ribosomal RNA is filed under the name uncultured bacterium. RNAcentral's name for it is "partial 16S ribosomal RNA". It matches the Rfam family "Bacterial small subunit ribosomal RNA", at positions 28 to 507 of the family's 1533-position model. The record is from RNAcentral.